UACGAAGGGGGCUAGCGUUGUUCGGAUUUACUGGGCGUAAAGGGCGCGUAGGCGGAUUUUUAAGUCAGGGGUGAAAUCCCAAGGCUCAACCUUGGAACUGCCUUUGAUACUGGGAAUCUUGAGUCCGGGAGAGGUGAGUGGAACUGCGAGUGUAGAGGUGAAAUUCGUAGAUAUUCGCAAGAACACCGGUGGCGAAGGCGGCCAACUGGACCAUUACUGACGCUGAGGCGCGAAAGCGUGGGGAGCAAACAGG
Molecule: ribosomal RNA, 253 nt
Filed under: uncultured bacterium
Lineage: Bacteria
Description: partial 16S ribosomal RNA
Rfam family: Bacterial small subunit ribosomal RNA
Source: RNAcentral